CCUACGGGAGGCAGCAGUGGGGAAUUUUGGACAAUGGACGCAAGUCUGAUCCAGCCAUGCCGCGUGCGGGAAGAAGGCCUUCGGGUUGUAAACCGCUUUUGUCAGGGAAGAAACGGGUUUCUCUAAUACAGAGACCUAAUGACGGUACCUGAAGAAUAAGCACCGGCUAACUACGUGCCAGCAGCCGCGGUAAUACGUAGGGUGCAAGCGUUAAUCGGAAUUACUGGGCGUAAAGCGUGCGCAGGCGGUUAUGCAAGACAGAGGUGAAAUCCCCGGGCUCAACCUGGGAACUGCCUUUGUGACUGCAUAGCUAGAGUACGGUAGAGGGGGAUGGAAUUCCGCGUGUAGCAGUGAAAUGCGUAGAUAUGCGGAGGAACACCGAUGGCGAAGGCAAUCCCCUGGACCUGUACUGACGCUCAUGCACGAAAGCGUGGGGAGCAAACAGGAUUAGAUACCCUGGUAGUCCACGCCCUAAACGAUGUCAACUGGUUGUUGGGAGGGUUUCUUCUCAGUAACGAAGCUAACGCGUGAAGUUGACCGCCUGGGGAGUACGGCCGCAAGGUUGAAACUCAAAUGAAAUUGAGG
RNAcentral lists this ribosomal RNA (585 nucleotides) under uncultured bacterium. Its description in RNAcentral is "bacterial SSU rRNA". It matches the Rfam family "Bacterial small subunit ribosomal RNA", at positions 338 to 916 of the family's 1533-position model. The record is from RNAcentral.